Molecule: transfer RNA, 72 nt
Filed under: Camelus bactrianus (Bactrian camel)
Lineage: Eukaryota; Metazoa; Chordata; Mammalia; Artiodactyla; Camelidae
Also listed under: 1 other name
Rfam family: tRNA
About the family: Transfer RNA (tRNA) molecules are approximately 80 nucleotides in length. Their secondary structure includes four short double-helical elements and three loops (D, anti-codon, and T loops). Further hydrogen bonds mediate the characteristic L-shaped molecular structure. tRNAs have two regions of fundamental functional importance: the anti-codon, which is responsible for specific mRNA codon recognition, and the 3' end, to which the tRNAs corresponding amino acid is attached (by aminoacyl-tRNA synthetases). tRNAs cope with the degeneracy of the genetic code in two manners: having more than one tRNA (with a specific anti-codon) for a particular amino acid; and 'wobble' base-pairing, i.e. permitting non-standard base-pairing at the 3rd anti-codon position.
Source: Rfam by way of RNAcentral
GGGGGUAUAGCUCAGUGGUAGAGUGUGUGCUUAGCAUGCAUGAGGUCAUGGGUUUAAUCCUCAGUACCACCA